This 253-nucleotide ribosomal RNA is filed under the name uncultured bacterium. RNAcentral describes it as "partial 16S ribosomal RNA". It matches the Rfam family "Bacterial small subunit ribosomal RNA", at positions 524 to 776 of the family's 1533-position model. The record is from RNAcentral.
UACGGGGGGGGCAAGCGUUGUUCGGAAUUACUGGGCGUAAAGGGCUCGUAGGCGGCCAACUAAGUCAGACGUGAAAUCCCUCGGCUUAACCGGGGAACUGCGUCUGAUACUGGAUGGCUUGAAUCCGGGAGAGGGAUGCGGAAUUCCAGGUGUAGCGGUGAAAUGCGUAGAUAUCAGGAGGAACACCGAUGGCGAAGGCAGGUCUCUGGGCAUUAACUGACGCUGAGGAGCGAAAGCAUGGGGAGCGAACAGG